This is a long non-coding RNA of Sphaerodactylus townsendi, 488 nucleotides long. RefSeq lists it as uncharacterized. Lineage: Eukaryota; Metazoa; Chordata; Lepidosauria; Squamata; Sphaerodactylidae. The transcript has 3 exons. The record is from RefSeq and is a predicted model, not a curated record.
CGCCGGCGGGGAGCCGGGAGGCGCCCGAUCCCCGCGAGCCACGCCCUGACUGCGCUUGCUGCGCGCCGCCUCGGGAUUGCUCAGGCUCCCUGCCGCCGGAAAGAGUGGGUGGCCGGGGCUUUGAGGGGUUGGAUCUGGCGCCUAACGUUGCAGCACCCCCUGGGGAGGAGGAGUCCUGGACUGACCCCUUGUCUCGUUCAGCUCCCCCUCCCCAACACUGUGAAAUUGCCCUCCCUCCACCCCCCUGCAGCGGAGCGCGGUACUCUCUCCUGGGCUUUGCUAAACUCUGAUGCGCUUAUGGCAGGCAUUUUAUCUUCAACAGCUGUACAGUGUGAGGUACAAGAAUUCAUCAGGGACUGAAUAAUGUGUGUGUAGAGUGGUGUCAAAUCGAGGCUGACUUACGACAAGGGUCUCUUAAGGCAAGUGAUUGAGCUCAAGAAGUUUGCCAUUGCUUUCCUCUGCAGAGCCUUCCCUCCUAAUAAUAAUGA